This 363-nucleotide transfer-messenger RNA is filed under the name Escherichia coli. It matches the Rfam family "transfer-messenger RNA". Rfam says of the family: Bacterial tmRNA, also known as 10Sa RNA or SsrA, is named for its dual tRNA and mRNA-like properties. Its role is to liberate the mRNA from a stalled ribosome. The record is from RNAcentral. Lineage: Bacteria; Pseudomonadati; Pseudomonadota; Gammaproteobacteria; Enterobacterales; Enterobacteriaceae.
GGGGCUGAUUCUGGAUUCGACGGGAUUUGCGAAACCCAAGGUGCAUGCCGAGGGGCGGUUGGCCUCGUAAAAAGCCGCAAAAAAUAGUCGCAAACGACGAAAACUACGCUUUAGCAGCUUAAUAACCUGCUUAGAGCCCUCUCUCCCUAGCCUCCGCUCUUAGGACGGGGAUCAAGAGAGGUCAAACCCAAAAGAGAUCGCGUGGAAGCCCUGCCUGGGGUUGAAGCGUUAAAACUUAAUCAGGCUAGUUUGUUAGUGGCGUGUCCGUCCGCAGCUGGCAAGCGAAUGUAAAGACUGACUAAGCAUGUAGUACCAAGGAUGUAGGAAUUUCGGACGCGGGUUCAACUCCCGCCAGCUCCACCA